AUGUUUCAUCUUCAAACACCCAGCAGAAUAUGAACAUCUAUCAUCUGAAUCUUCAAAAUUCACCAACGCCCACCAGAAACUCUCCGACAUGGCUCCGUCGCCGGCGCCGUCAUCUUCCUCAUGUCCUCUCUUUCAUACUCUCCUCCCCGUUCUUGCCCCACAAGAUCACCGUCUAAACUACAACCCAACAACAACAGAUCUCACCGACAUUAGAGGAUAUACAGUGGGUUAAAUCCCAGAUCGAAGUUAACGGACUUCAUAUGCAAGAUAAUGUUCUUCGUAAGGGCAUUAAUCCUAGUACUCGUGCUCAACAGCUCCAGGAUUUGAUCCAAUUAUUGCAUAAUCCUCUUGACGGAGCCAUGGCUACCGGAGCCUAGAUUGACUACCGGCUACCGGGGUCCUAGAUACAAGAUUUGGAUAUGCAUAUGACCGGUGAGUUGAAUGCCAAUCUGAAGUUGAAUGCCAAAUCAAUAGAAAUCCCUUUUGAAGUUGAAUGCCAAAUCAAUAGAAUGCCAAUCUGAAGUUGAACGCCAAAUCAAUAGAAAUCCCUUUUGAAGUUGAACUCAAUAGAAAUCAAUGCCAAAUCAAUGCCAAUCUGAUGUUGAAUGUUUGUAGAUUUGAACUCAAAAGUCAAAGUUUUCAAAUUUGUAGCAGCAAAGCUUACCUCAAAUCUAAAGGCAUGAAAUCCCUUUUUCUUGAAUUCUUUUCUUCAUGAUAUUUCAUACACCGCUUUACCUCAAA
Helianthus annuus (common sunflower) is the source of this 741-nucleotide long non-coding RNA. RefSeq lists it as uncharacterized. The record is from RefSeq and is a predicted model, not a curated record. The transcript has 2 exons. Lineage: Eukaryota; Viridiplantae; Streptophyta; Magnoliopsida; Asterales; Asteraceae.